UACGUAGGGCGCAAGCGUUGUCCGGAAUUAUUGGGCGUAAAGAGCUCGUAGGCGGUUUGUCGCGUCUGCUGGUGAAAACCUAAGGCUCAACCUUGGGACUUGGCAGUGGGUACGGGCAGACUAGAGUGCGGUAGGGGUGACUGGAAUUCCGUGGUGAUAGCGGUGGAAUGCGCAGAUAUCAGGAGGAACACCGAUGGCGAAGGCAGGUCACUGGGCCGCA
RNAcentral lists this ribosomal RNA (220 nucleotides) under uncultured bacterium. RNAcentral's name for it is "partial 16S ribosomal RNA". It matches the Rfam family "Bacterial small subunit ribosomal RNA", at positions 524 to 738 of the family's 1533-position model. The record is from RNAcentral.